GGGGAAUCUUGGACAAUGGGCGCAAGCCUGAUCCAGCCAUGCCGCGUGGAUGAUGAAGGCCUUAGGGUUGUAAAAUCCUUUCAGCGGGGACGAUAAUGACGGUACCCGCAGAAGAAGCCCCGGCUAACUUCGUGCCAGCAGCCGCGGUAAUACGAAGGGGGCUAGCGUUGUUCGGAUUUACUGGGCGUAAAGCGCGUGUAGGCGUGUCGUUAAGUUGGGGGUGAAAUCCCGAGGCUCAACCUCGGAACUGCCUUCAAAACUGGCGACCUGGAGCAAGAUAGAGGCAAGUGGAAUUGCGAGUGUAGAGGUGAAAUUCGUAGAGAUCGGGAGGAACACCAGUGGCGAAGGCGGCCAUCUGGACCAGUACUGACGCUGAGGCACGAAAGCGUGGGGAGCAAACA
This 401-nucleotide ribosomal RNA is filed under the name uncultured bacterium. RNAcentral's name for it is "bacterial SSU rRNA". It matches the Rfam family "Bacterial small subunit ribosomal RNA", at positions 356 to 774 of the family's 1533-position model. The record is from RNAcentral.